RNAcentral lists this ribosomal RNA (2692 nucleotides) under Escherichia coli. Its description in RNAcentral is "partial 23S ribosomal RNA". It matches the Rfam family "Bacterial large subunit ribosomal RNA". Lineage: Bacteria; Pseudomonadati; Pseudomonadota; Gammaproteobacteria; Enterobacterales; Enterobacteriaceae. The record is from RNAcentral.
AGGAAAAGAAAUCAACCGAGAUUCCCCCAGUAGCGGCGAGCGAACGGGGAGGAGCCCAGAGCCUGAAUCAGUGUGUGUGUUAGUGGAAGCGUCUGGAAAGGCGCGCGAUACAGGGUGACAGCCCCGUACACAAAAAUGCACAUAUUGUGAGCUCGAUGAGUAGGGCGGGACACGUGGUAUCCUGUCUGAAUAUGGGGGGACCAUCCUCCAAGGCUAAAUACUCCUGACUGACCGAUAGUGAACCAGUACCGUGAGGGAAAGGCGAAAAGAACCCCGGCGAGGGGAGUGAAAAAGAACCUGAAACCGUGUACGUACAAGCAGUGGGAGCCUCUUAAUGGGGUGACUGCGUACCUUUUGUAUAAUGGGUCAGCGACUUAUAUUCUGUAGCAAGGUUAACCGAAUAGGGGAGCCGAAGGGAAACCGAGUCUUAACUGGGCGUUAAGUUGCAGGGUAUAGACCCGAAACCCGGUGAUCUAGCCAUGGGCAGGUUGAAGGUUGGGUAACACUAACUGGAGGACCGAACCGACUAAUGUUGAAAAAUUAGCGGAUGACUUGUGGCUGGGGGUGAAAGGCCAAUCAAACCGGGAGAUAGCUGGUUCUCCCCGAAAGCUAUUUAGGUAGCGCCUCGUGAAUUCAUCUCCGGGGGUAGAGCACUGUUUCGGCAAGGGGGUCAUCCCGACUUACCAACCCGAUGCAAACUGCGAAUACCGGAGAAUGUUAUCACGGGAGACACACGGCGGGUGCUAACGUCCGUCGUGAAGAGGGAAACAACCCAGACCGCCAGCUAAGGUCCCAAAGUCAUGGUUAAGUGGGAAACGAUGUGGGAAGGCCCAGACAGCCAGGAUGUUGGCUUAGAAGCAGCCAUCAUUUAAAGAAAGCGUAAUAGCUCACUGGUCGAGUCGGCCUGCGCGGAAGAUGUAACGGGGCUAAACCAUGCACCGAAGCUGCGGCAGCGACACUAUGUGUUGUUGGGUAGGGGAGCGUUCUGUAAGCCUGUGAAGGUGGCCUGUGAGGGUUGCUGGAGGUAUCAGAAGUGCGAAUGCUGACAUAAGUAACGAUAAAGCGGGUGAAAAGCCCGCUCGCCGGAAGACCAAGGGUUCCUGUCCAACGUUAAUCGGGGCAGGGUGAGUCGACCCCUAAGGCGAGGCCGAAAGGCGUAGUCGAUGGGAAACAGGUUAAUAUUCCUGUACUUGGUGUUACUGCGAAGGGGGGACGGAGAAGGCUAUGUUGGCCGGGCGACGGUUGUCCCGGUUUAAGCGUGUAGGCUGGUUUUCCAGGCAAAUCCGGAAAACCAAGGCUGAGGCGUGAUGACGAGGCACUACGGUGCUGAAGCGACAAAUGCCCUGCUUCCAGGAAAAGCCUCUAAGCAUCAGGUAACAUCAAAUCGUACCCCAAACCGACACAGGUGGUCAGGUAGAGAAUACCAAGGCGCUUGAGAGAACUCGGGUGAAGGAACUAGGCAAAAUGGUGCCGUAACUUCGGGAGAAGGCACGCUGAUAUGUAGGUGAAGCGACUUGCUCGUGGAGCUGAAAUCAGUCGAAGAUACCAGCUGGCUGCAACUGUUUAUUAAAAACACAGCACUGUGCAAACACGAAAGUGGACGUAUACGGUGUGACGCCUGCCCGGUGCCGGAAGGUUAAUUGAUGGGGUUAGCGGUAACGCGAAGCUCUUGAUCGAAGCCCCGGUAAACGGCGGCCGUAACUAUAACGGUCCUAAGGUAGCGAAAUUCCUUGUCGGGUAAGUUCCGACCUGCACGAAUGGCGUAAUGAUGGCCAGGCUGUCUCCACCCGAGACUCAGUGAAAUUGAACUCGCUGUGAAGAUGCAGUGUACCCGCGGCAAGACGGAAAGACCCCGUGAACCUUUACUAUAGCUUGACACUGAACAUUGAGCCUUGAUGUGUAGGAUAGGUGGGAGGCUUUGAAGUGUGGACGCCAGUCUGCAUGGAGCCGACCUUGAAAUACCACCCUUUAAUGUUUGAUGUUCUAACGUUGGCCCGUAAUCCGGGUUGCGGACAGUGUCUGGUGGGUAGUUUGACUGGGGCGGUCUCCUCCUAAAGAGUAACGGAGGAGCACGAAGGUUGGCUAAUCCUGGUCGGACAUCAGGAGGUUAGUGCAAUGGCAUAAGCCAGCUUGACUGCGAGCGUGACGGCGCGAGCAGGUGCGAAAGCAGGUCAUAGUGAUCCGGUGGUUCUGAAUGGAAGGGCCAUCGCUCAACGGAUAAAAGGUACUCCGGGGAUAACAGGCUGAUACCGCCCAAGAGUUCAUAUCGACGGCGGUGUUUGGCACCUCGAUGUCGGCUCAUCACAUCCUGGGGCUGAAGUAGGUCCCAAGGGUAUGGCUGUUCGCCAUUUAAAGUGGUACGCGAGCUGGGUUUAGAACGUCGUGAGACAGUUCGGUCCCUAUCUGCCGUGGGCGCUGGAGAACUGAGGGGGGCUGCUCCUAGUACGAGAGGACCGGAGUGGACGCAUCACUGGUGUUCGGGUUGUCAUGCCAAUGGCACUGCCCGGUAGCUAAAUGCGGAAGAGAUAAGUGCUGAAAGCAUCUAAGCACGAAACUUGCCCCGAGAUGAGUUCUCCCUGAGACUUAGAGUCUCCUGAAGGAACGUUGAAGACGACGACGUUGAUAGGCCGGGUGUGUAAGCGCAGCGAUGCGUUGAGCUAACCGGUACUAAUGAACCGUGAGGCUUAACCUU